GAUGAACGCUGGCGGCGUGCCUAAUACAUGCAAGUCGAGCGAACGGACGAGAAGCUUGCUUCUCUGAUGUUAGCGGCGGACGGGUGAGUAACACGUGGAUAACCUACCUAUAAGACUGGGAUAACUUCGGGAAACCGGAGCUAAUACCGGAUGAUAUUUUGAACCGCAUGGUUCAAAAGUGAAAGACGGUCUUGCUGUCACUUAUAGAUGGAUCCGCGCUGCAUUAGCUAGUUGGUAAGGUAACGGCUUACCAAGGCAACGAUGCAUAGCCGACCUGAGAGGGUGAUUGGCCACACUGGAACUGAGACACGGUCCAGACUCCUCGGGAGGCAGCAGUAGGGAAUCUUCCGCAAUGGGCGAAAGCCUGACGGAGCAACGCCGCGUGAGCGAUGAAGGUCUUCGGAUCGUAAAACUCUGUUAUUAGGGAAGAACAUAUGUGUAAGUAACUGUGCACACCUUGACGGUACCUAAUCAGAAAGCCACGGCUAACUACGUG
Molecule: ribosomal RNA, 496 nt
Filed under: uncultured bacterium
Lineage: Bacteria
Description: partial 16S ribosomal RNA
Rfam family: Bacterial small subunit ribosomal RNA
Source: RNAcentral